UUACAAACGUAAUUUUUAUUUUAUUUAACUAUUAUCCUUAACAUUAGUAUUUUAAAUGAGUUAUUUCUUUAUUUAAUUUAGAUAUCUUAAGAUAUUCUUUUUGAACAUGGAAAGGAGUAAUGAUAAUGUAUUGCCAUAAGGCACACUAGAUCAUUAUCCGCACAGGAUGAGUAAUUGCUUCCACGUUAAUGGGUUGUAUGGAGCAUUUGCGAAUUCUUGUCCUCAUUCAAUCAUUAUACUCUUUGUCAUGGCGACCCUUUGUGGGAACUAGGACCGCCAAAGCCUAAAUUAUAUGUUCAGAUUCGCACCAUCAUUAGUAUUUAAGAGUUUUUGGUCUUUGCGGAUUAGUACUCCUCCGUCCAAAAAUAAAUAUCAUAGAAGAAAAGUUACUCAUCAAAACAUAAACAAUAAUAAUUUUAUAUUAUCACUAAUUUAUCUAUAAAUUUUGUUAUUCAUUAUUAAUAUUAUAAAAGAUAUAAAAAAAAUAUAAUAUCACAAUAAAAAAUUAAAAUAAUAAUUUUUUUGAGAUAAAUUUUUUUUACACCACAAUUAUAUAGGACCGAUGGAGUAUUAACAUUAAAUUCAAAAAUUAAAAUAACAUUUAUUAGGAAUAUUCCUGAAGAAGGGGAUUUACUGUUACAUUUAAAAGUUAAAUGCUGAUACUUAUUUUACUUUCAUUAUAAUUAUUUUAUAAGAAAACAAAUUAUCCCAAAACAAUAGGGAUGGAUAUAUAGAUCAAUUUGGUCUUUUUAAUUUCAGUUCACGCAACCCAUGUUUUGAACUGAUCAAAUAAGCUCGAUCUGCAAAAUUAAUGAACUUUUUUUUAAGAUAUGUAUCCAGUGCGUAAAAGUUAGCGAAUAAAUACAUUAAUCCGUAGACCAAAAUAUUAAUUUGAAAAAUAUAUAAAAUUUAACUUCAUUUUUUAAGCUAAAAUCUAUCGUAACAAAAUAUACCAACAUUUUUUUAUAAAAAAAAAUAUACCAACAUUUUAAAUAUAACAAAUUAACCAUAACAACCUAAACUAAAAGAUAAAAAUCUUAAACCUAACAAUACUUAUACAUAAGACAUAAGUGGGUUAAAUGGGUAGUUGGCGGGCUCACAGAUCAAGUUUGCAGUUGAAAGUUUGCUCCCAGCCAUCCAAUUUGGGCCAUUAUAAAAUUCCCUGCAUCAUCAUGAAGACAACAACCAUUACCAGAUGCAUGUUGAUCCUCAAAAAUGGCACCAUCAGUAUUGCUUAUAACAUAUCCUGUUGGAGGUUUGGUCGUUAAAAUAACAACGUUAGUUGUUGAGCCAUUAUCUCGAUGAACUCCACGAAAUUCUUAAGCCAAUCUCCAAUCUUACAACACUGAUUGAGCUCUACAGCAGACAAUACUCCCUGAUCCAUCUACUGCAUUACAUGGAUUUCCAUUCCUUCCCUUCCAUUGGCUCCAAAGCAAAAUGGCUAUCUUAGAAGUGGUGUUGGCAUUACUGAUAAGCUUGAAAUUCUAAUCAUAGAUUGAUUCAACUUCAGUCAAGAAAGGUUCGAUCAUGUUUCACAAGCCUUCUUUUUCCCAAACAGAAAUGAUUCCUGGAGGCAGGUAAAGAAACAGUUAAAUGCAAUUUCCAAAUUUUGCUGACAGAAAAGGCAAGAAGCUGGACAUUCAAUACCUUUUGAUUGCAGUCGUAUUUUUG
RNAcentral lists this long non-coding RNA (1671 nucleotides) under Glycine max (soybean). Its description in RNAcentral is "long non-coding RNA (GMAX_LNC004006)". The record is from RNAcentral. Lineage: Eukaryota; Viridiplantae; Streptophyta; Magnoliopsida; Fabales; Fabaceae.